RNAcentral lists this ribosomal RNA (228 nucleotides) under uncultured bacterium. RNAcentral's name for it is "partial 16S ribosomal RNA". It matches the Rfam family "Bacterial small subunit ribosomal RNA", at positions 568 to 796 of the family's 1533-position model. The record is from RNAcentral.
UGCGUAGGUGGUUAGAUAAGUCUUAGGUGUAAGUGCAGAGCUUAACUCUGUGAUGCUAAAGAAACUGUCUGACUUGAGUGUGGUAGAGGCAAGUGGAAUUCCAUGUGUAGCGGUAAAAUGCGUAAAUAUAUGGAGGAACACCAGUGGCGAAGGCGGCUUGCUGGGCCAUAACUGACACUGAGGCACGAAAGCGUGGGGAGCAAACAGGAUUAGAUACCCUGGUAGUCC